This 492-nucleotide ribosomal RNA is filed under the name uncultured bacterium. RNAcentral describes it as "partial 16S ribosomal RNA". It matches the Rfam family "Bacterial small subunit ribosomal RNA", at positions 30 to 507 of the family's 1533-position model. The record is from RNAcentral.
AUUGAACGCUGGCGGUAUGCCUAACACAUGCAAGUCGAACGGCAGCACAGUAAGAGCUUGCUCUUACGGGUUGCGAGUGGCGGACGGGUGAGGAAUACAUCGGAAUCUACUUUUUCGUGGGGGAUAACGUAGGGAAACUGACGCUAAUACCGCAUACGACCUACGGGUGAAAGCAGGUGAUCUUCGGACCUUGCGCGAUUGAAUGAGCCGAUGUCGGAUUAGCUAGUUGGCGGGGUAAAGGCCCACCAAGGCGACGAUCCGUAGCUGGUCUGAGAGGAUGAUCAGCCACACUGGAACUGAGACACGGUCCAGACUCCUACGGGAGGCAGCAGUGGGGAAUAUUGGACAAUGGGCGCAAGCCUGAUCCAGCCAUACCGCGUGGGUGAAGAAGGCCUUCGGGUUGUAAAGCCCUUUUGUUGGGAAAGAAAAGCAGCAGGUUAAUACCCCGCUGUUCUGACGGUACCCAAAGAAUAAGCACCGGCUAACUUCGUG